This 628-nucleotide ribosomal RNA is filed under the name uncultured Fidelibacterota bacterium. Its description in RNAcentral is "bacterial SSU rRNA". It matches the Rfam family "Bacterial small subunit ribosomal RNA", at positions 505 to 1120 of the family's 1533-position model. Lineage: Bacteria; Pseudomonadati; Fidelibacterota. The record is from RNAcentral.
GUGCCAGCAGCCGCGGUAAUACGGGGGGAGCAAGCGUUAUCCGGAAUUACUGGGCAUAAAGGGCACGUAGGCGGAUUAAUAAGUCAGUUUUAAAAUACAGCAGCUUAACUGUUGAUUGGGAGCUGAAACUGUUAACCUUGAGUGCGAGAGAAGGAAGUGGAAUUCCUGGUGUAGCGGUGAAAUGCGUAGAUAUCAGGAGGAACACCGAAAGCGAAGGCAGCUCUCUGGGCCAAUACUGACGCUGAGGCGCGAAAGCGUGGGGAGCAAACAGGAUUAGAUACCCUGGUAGUCCACGCCGUAAACGAUGAGCACUUGGUGUCGGGGGAUUCGACCCCCUCGGUGCCGUAGCUAACGUGUUAAGUGCUCCGCCUGGGGACUACGACCGCAAGGUUGAAACUCAAAGGAAUUGACGGGGGCCCGCACAAGCGGUGGAACAUGUGGUUUAAUUCGAUGCAACGCGAAGAACCUUACCUGGGCUUGACAUGUCAGUGAAAGUCCCGUGAAAGCGGGACCCUCUGCGAGCUUGCUCAAUGACACUGUCACAGGUGGUGCAUGGCUGUCGUCAGCUCGUGUCGUGAAAUGUUGGGUUAAGUCCCGCAACGAGCGCAACCCUUGUCCUUAGUUGCCA